GCUUCCCUCUGGCGGCGUGCCUAAUACAUGCAAGUCGAGCGAACGGACGAGAAGCUUGCUUUUCUGAUGUUAGCGGCGGACGGGGGAGGAACACGUGGAUAACCUACCUAUAAGACUGGGAUAACUUCGGGAAACCGGAGCUAAUACCGGAUAAUAUUUUGAACCGCAUGGUUCAAAAGUGAAAGACGGUCUUGCUGUCACUUAUAGAUGGAUCCGCGCUGCAUUAGCUAGUUGGUAAGGUAACGGCUUACCAAGGCAACGAUGCAUAGCCGACCUGAGAGGGUGAUCGGCCACACUGGAACUGAGACACGGUCCAGACUCCUACGGGAGGCAGCAGUAGGGAAUCUUCCGCAAUGGGCGAAAGCCUGACGGAGCAACGCCGCGUGAGUGAUGAAGGUCUUCGGAUCGUAAAACUCUGUUAUUAGGGAAGAACAUAUGUGUAAGUAACUGUGCACAUCUUGACGGUACCUAAUCAGAAAGCCACGGCUAACUACGUG
Molecule: ribosomal RNA, 497 nt
Filed under: uncultured bacterium
Lineage: Bacteria
Description: partial 16S ribosomal RNA
Rfam family: Bacterial small subunit ribosomal RNA
Source: RNAcentral